GCACUCGUAGCUCAACUGAAUAGAGCAUCUGACUACGGAUCAGAAGGUUUGGGGUUUGAAUCCCUACGAGUGCACGA
Molecule: transfer RNA, 77 nt
Filed under: Pseudochryseolinea flava
Lineage: Bacteria; Pseudomonadati; Bacteroidota; Cytophagia; Cytophagales; Fulvivirgaceae
Description: Chryseolinea flava tRNA-Arg
Rfam family: tRNA
About the family: Transfer RNA (tRNA) molecules are approximately 80 nucleotides in length. Their secondary structure includes four short double-helical elements and three loops (D, anti-codon, and T loops).
Source: RNAcentral